UGGUUUUUUAUUUAUUUAUUUUUUUCCCCAAAGGAUAGGGCUGGGCUGGGUUUAUUGCAGUCUAGUGUAGGCAGUGGGGUGAUUUGGGUGCUGGUGUUGUGUCAUGUAGAGAAGAGGCGAUGUGGAAAUGGAGAUGGCAAAGCUGUGAUGGAGAAGGGUGCUACCCGAUGGUAGUGCAUGAUUGGAUUUGGGUUAAUGGUAUGGGGAUUUAGAUUCUGUGGAGUUGGCCAUGGGGUAAAGGG
Molecule: unclassified non-coding RNA, 242 nt
Filed under: Hevea brasiliensis (rubber tree)
Lineage: Eukaryota; Viridiplantae; Streptophyta; Magnoliopsida; Malpighiales; Euphorbiaceae
Source: RNAcentral